ACUCCUACGGGAGGCAGCAGUAGGGAAUCUUCCACAAUGGGCGCAAGCCUGAUGGAGCAACACCGCGUGAGUGAAGAAGGGUUUCGGUCUCGUAAAGCUCUGUUGUUAAAGAAGAACACGUAUGAGAGUAACUGUUCAUACGUUGACGGUAUUUAACCAGAAAGUCACGGCUAACUACGUGCCAGCAGCCGCGGUAAUACGUAGGUGGCAAGCGUUAUCCGGAUUUAUUGGGCGUAAAGAGAGUGCAGGCGGUUUUCUAAGUCUGAUGUGGAAGCCUUCGGCUUAACCGGAGAAGUGCAUCGGAAACUGGAUAACUUGAGUGCAGAAGAGGGUAGUGGAACUCCAUGUGUAGCGGUGGAAUGCGUAGAUAUAUGGAAGAACACCAGUGGCGAAGGCGGCUACCUGGUCUGCAACUGACGCUGAGACUCGAAAGCAUGGGUAGCGAACAGGAUUAGAUACCCUGGUAGGAUAGCG
This 474-nucleotide ribosomal RNA is filed under the name uncultured bacterium. Its description in RNAcentral is "bacterial SSU rRNA". It matches the Rfam family "Bacterial small subunit ribosomal RNA", at positions 335 to 801 of the family's 1533-position model. The record is from RNAcentral.